Molecule: long non-coding RNA, 910 nt
Filed under: Homo sapiens (human)
Lineage: Eukaryota; Metazoa; Chordata; Mammalia; Primates; Hominidae
Description: HSALNT0320847
Source: RNAcentral
GUGUAAGGAAGAACAGAAGGAUCCAAGUGUGAGAAAGCCCACCCUGAGUCUCUCAGAGAUUCAUUUCACUACCAGGUCAAAGACACAAUCAAAAGCCCGACAAAUGGAAUUUGUGGAAUUGGAACAAAAAGCUUUUCUUCCUAGGCACAAGAACAUCAAAGCAUAAAUCCUUCAGGUAUCAGCAAUGACAUCACUUAAGAAUUUCUCAGAAUCUUUGGCACCACCCCAGGCCUACCGGAUCAGAAUCUGAAUUUUUUAACAAGAUCUCAGAUGAGCAAGGAGAGACUCAGAGGAAGUCAGCGUUACUCGAUUAGAAAGUGACUGUGGCACUACCAUAGUAGUAAAAUCUACCAUGGCAGAGAAAAUGCCAUAUGUUCACCUUGCCAGUCGUUUUUCUUUUUCCUCCUGGGUUUAUAGGAAGAUGGCAGCCCCUGGCUCCCCUGCAAUCAGGCAGGGCCAUGUGACUGAGUCUUAGCUCACCAAUGUGGGAGAAAGUGAUGUGUGACACAUUAAGGCCAGGCCACUGAAACCUCUCAUGGGAACUUCCAUACUCACUUCCCUCAUCUGCUAGCCAACCCAAAAGAUUGAGUGGAGGAUUUUACAGCCCCAGGGCCUAGAGAUGCUGGAAAGAAGCCUGAUUCAGCCCUGAAUGAACCUGUGCAAAGGUGCCUCUGACCUCCAACCCUUGUUGGACUAGGAUGUUGGAAAAUACUGUGUUAAGCUACUGGGAUUUCAAAGUUGUUUGUCAUAGCAGCUAGCCAUAUUUACUCUACCUGAUAGAUCUAUGUUCUGUAAUUACAGUGUUUGCCUUUCAUGUCCUAAGGGUAAAUAAGUGAUAUAUGCAACAAUAAACUGUGAUGUACUAUAUAUUGUUUUUAUUACAUUAAAAUUCUUAAAAUUUGCUUUUUCA